Molecule: long non-coding RNA, 311 nt
Filed under: Phoenix dactylifera (date palm)
Lineage: Eukaryota; Viridiplantae; Streptophyta; Magnoliopsida; Arecales; Arecaceae
Description: long non-coding RNA (PDAC_LNC014160)
Source: RNAcentral
GGAUCGCCAUUAUCAAGAACUAGUAGCCCAAAAAAAAUAUUUAUACAAAUACACAAGAUCAAUGUUUGCUGAACCAACCUAAACAGGUAGCCGUACUUGUACCGAACCAAACCGACAACAAAACAAGAUUAGUUUGCUGUUCAAGUCACUUCAUUUAUAAAAUCUUCACCAACCCUACAUGGCUCAAGGUUUAAGAGAGCUCUUGAGUUCAAGCUCUCGAGUUCAACAUCUCUCACUCACUCACUCUCUCCACUAUUUGAUGUCAACCGGCACCUUUCUUUCUCUUCAAUAGGGGUUGAUGCCUCUCUCUC